Molecule: ribosomal RNA, 475 nt
Filed under: Streptococcus cristatus
Lineage: Bacteria; Bacillati; Bacillota; Bacilli; Lactobacillales; Streptococcaceae
Description: bacterial SSU rRNA
Rfam family: Bacterial small subunit ribosomal RNA
Source: RNAcentral
GACGAACGCUGGCGGCGUGCCUAAUACAUGCAAGUAGAACGCUGAAGGAGGAGCUUGCUCUUCUGGAUGAGUUGCGAACGGGUGAGUAACGCGUAGGUAACCUGCCUGGUAGCGGGGGAUAACUAUUGGAAACGAUAGCUAAUACCGCAUAACAUUGACUAUUGCAUGAUAGUCAAUUGAAAGGUGCAAAUGCACCACUAUCAGAUGGACCUGCGUUGUAUUAGCUAGUUGGUGGGGUAACGGCUCACCAAGGCGACGAUACAUAGCCGACCUGAGAGGGUGAUCGGCCACACUGGGACUGAGACACGGCCCAGACUCCUACGGGAGGCAGCAGUAGGGAAUCUUCGGCAAUGGACGGAAGUCUGACCGAGCAACGCCGCGUGAGUGAAGAAGGUUUUCGGAUCGUAAAGCUCUGUUGUAAGAGAAGAACGAGUGUGAGAGUGGAAAGUUCACACUGGGACGUAUCUACCAGAAA